UACGAACGCUGGCGGCAGGCCUAAAACAUGCAAGUCGAACGAACCUUCGGGUUAGUGGCGCACGGGUGCGUAACGCGUGGGAAUAUACCUCUGGGUGCGGAACAACGUCUGGAAACAGACGCUAAUACCGCAUAAUAUCUACGGAUCAAAGAUUUAUCGCCCAGAGAUUAGCCCGCGUCUGAUUAGCUAGUUGGUGAGGUAAUGGCUCACCAAGGCGACGAUCAGUAGCUGGUCUGAGAGGAUGAUCAGCCACACUGGAACUGAGACACGGUCCAGACUCCUACGGGAGGCAGCAGUUGGGAAUAUUGGACAAUGGGGGAAACCCUGAUCCAGCCAUGCCGCGUGAGUGAAGAAGGCCUUAGGGUUGUAAAGCUCUUUCGGCUGUGAAGAUAAUGACAGUAGCAGAAGAAGAAGCUCCGGCUAAAUUCGUGCCAGCAGCCGCCGUAA
This 447-nucleotide ribosomal RNA is filed under the name uncultured bacterium. RNAcentral's name for it is "partial 16S ribosomal RNA". It matches the Rfam family "Bacterial small subunit ribosomal RNA", at positions 29 to 523 of the family's 1533-position model. The record is from RNAcentral.